RNAcentral lists this ribosomal RNA (468 nucleotides) under uncultured bacterium. RNAcentral's name for it is "partial 16S ribosomal RNA". It matches the Rfam family "Bacterial small subunit ribosomal RNA", at positions 28 to 507 of the family's 1533-position model. The record is from RNAcentral.
GACGAACGCUGGCGGCGUGCUUAACACAUGCAAGUCGAACGGAAAGGCCCUGCUUUUGUGGGGUGCUCGAGUGGCGAACGGGUGAGUAACACGUGAGUAACCUGCCCUUGACUUUGGGAUAACUUCAGGAAACUGGGGCUAAUACCGGAUAGGAGCUCCUGCUGCAUGGUGGGGGUUGGAAAGUUUCGGCGGUUGGGGAUGGACUCGCGGCUUAUCAGCUUGUUGGUGGGGUAGUGGCUUACCAAGGCUUUGACGGGUAGCCGGCCUGAGAGGGUGACUGGCCACAUUGGGACUGAGAUACGGCCCAGACUCCUACGGGAGGCGGCAGUGGGGAAUAUUGCACAAUGGGCGGAAGCCUGAUGCAGCAACGCCGCGUGCGGGAUGACGGCCUUCGGGUUGUAAACCGCUUUCGCCUGUGACGAAGCGUGAGUGACGGUAAUGGGUAAAGAAGCACCGGCUAACUACGUG